CUUGAUCGACCCGAGCCACAGGGGUUCGCCGGCGCGGUCGCGGCCGUAGGUGGCCAGCAGCGCCUGGGCCUC
This 72-nucleotide antisense RNA is filed under the name Streptomyces sp. yr375. RNAcentral describes it as "ASpks TB sRNA". It matches the Rfam family "ASpks TB sRNA". The record is from Rfam by way of RNAcentral. Lineage: Bacteria; Bacillati; Actinomycetota; Actinomycetes; Kitasatosporales; Streptomycetaceae.